AACAAGGCGUACCUGCGGACCUGCGGAAGGAUCAUUAACGAGCGUAACCUACCCUUUUAAAAAAUGGGUGGUACCUCCCGUCCUUUGCGGGCCCCCUUCUUUUAUUAAGGGGGGGGCUUUUAAGACUUUCUGCUUCGGCGGGGUUAUUCCCGCCGGAACACCUUCAAAAAACUCUUGAUCAAAAAACUGUUCAGUCCGAGAAUUUUUGAAAAUUAAAACAAAACUUUUAACAAUGGAUCU
Molecule: unclassified non-coding RNA, 240 nt
Filed under: soil metagenome
Description: partial contains 5.8S ribosomal RNA, internal transcribed spacer 2, and large subunit ribosomal RNA
Source: RNAcentral